GGAAACGUGGCUGAGUGGCUUAAGGCACCCGACUGGAGCUCGGGAGGCGAUCUCAACAAUCGUCCGUGCGUUCGAACCGCACCGUUUCCGCCA
This 93-nucleotide transfer RNA is filed under the name Terriglobia bacterium. RNAcentral describes it as "tRNA-Ser". It matches the Rfam family "tRNA". From Rfam's summary of the family: Transfer RNA (tRNA) molecules are approximately 80 nucleotides in length. Their secondary structure includes four short double-helical elements and three loops (D, anti-codon, and T loops). Further hydrogen bonds mediate the characteristic L-shaped molecular structure. tRNAs have two regions of fundamental functional importance: the anti-codon, which is responsible for specific mRNA codon recognition, and the 3' end, to which the tRNAs corresponding amino acid is attached (by aminoacyl-tRNA synthetases). tRNAs cope with the degeneracy of the genetic code in two manners: having more than one tRNA (with a specific anti-codon) for a particular amino acid; and 'wobble' base-pairing, i.e. permitting non-standard base-pairing at the 3rd anti-codon position. Lineage: Bacteria; Pseudomonadati; Acidobacteriota; Terriglobia. The record is from RNAcentral.